Perognathus longimembris pacificus (Pacific pocket mouse) is the source of this 3064-nucleotide long non-coding RNA. RefSeq lists it as uncharacterized. Lineage: Eukaryota; Metazoa; Chordata; Mammalia; Rodentia; Heteromyidae. The record is from RefSeq and is a predicted model, not a curated record. The transcript has 3 exons.
AAGGGUUUAAUAGUAGCAGUCAAGUAAAAAGAGGGCUGUAUAUUUUUAAUAAUGUGACUUUUCCCACCAUACUUUCUAUGAACAAGGAUUUAGGAACAAUCUAAAUCUCUCUUUAUGCACAAUGUGUUUCAUGCAGUCAUUAAUUGCUCCAUAAAUGGUUAUUUGUAAUCAGCUUUUUCCCUUGAAAUGAUCUUUCCUACAGUUCAGCUUUAGCUUAGGAGAUGAAUACAACGUAUUCAAGCAUUUUUGUAGAAAACAUUCCUAGAGGUGAAAAGUGUAGGCAAGGAAGAUGGCUGAACUAUGGGGAUGAUUCCUUGGCCUUUUCUGGUUGUAUUUGACCCAUAAUGAUGACAGAAAUAGCAAUUGGGCAACACUUUCAAACUCUCAUUCACUUCUUCUACAAAUUUCAUCAAUGUGGUAUUAUCAUGCCUGGGAACAAUAAUACAUAUGGGAACAAUAAGUUCAUAUGUCUCCCUAGCUUUGAUGCUAGAUUCAUGGUAUACAUCCUGUGCAGUUAGUUAUAUGGGACCACAGCUCGGAGGAACCCGGACAUGGUUUAAUGUUCAGUUGUCAUCUUGAAAUUUUAAAUAAUUUUUCAAGUGCCCACACUUCUGUUUUUAAAUUGCAUAACAAACCUCAACAUAUCUGCCUUUGGAUACUUAAACAUUUUCUCUCCUCUCAUAUCUAUGAAUGUCCUUGCUGAGCUACAUGUUACAUCUUGGUGUUCCUAAAACAUCUCCCAGGCUUUCAGAAUAAACUACUAAGUGCAUUAUUCAAGAUAAACAAUGCUCUUCAUGUGUGUUAGCAAAUGAAUACAAUGGUGUCAACAUGUUUAUCUUUGACUGGUGUCUGCCACUGAACUGUGGAUUAUAUACAUUUUGUUCACCUAUCAUCACAAACCUAUGAGAUAAGUACUACAAUUCUGUUUUUUUUUUUUUUCUUUUUACAGAUAGGAGAGCUGAGGCUGAGAAGUCAGUGAAAGGUAGGGCUCACUACUGAAUCCUGAUUUUUUAAAUUUCAGGCUCUUUCCCAUUUUGUACCUUUAGUAACCUGAGUUGGGAAAGCUGUCUCCUCAGGUCUAAGCUUUGCCCCAAUGGUCCGAAGAGUGUUCCAGUUUUUACACCUUGGCCUAUUGCACAGAAUCAGUCAGUAGUUUGGUGAAAAGCUAGGAUAGCUUGUUCUAGGCUCUUCCAUGUGUUCUUCUUUGUAUCUCCUAGGAUCAUCCAUGAAACUAGACAUGAGCCAGUAUCAUUGUUUUCACUGGGAGGGGUGGAGAAGCAGACAAAGCUUCUACAAGAACAGGUGUGCUCUGGGCUCUGGAGUCCAAAGCAAUAUUGAAUGCACAUUCCUUACUCAGCUGCACUUGUAGAUAUGUAGUGAGAAAGGACAGCCAUUUACUUACUGUUUUCCAUUUUUGACAUCUGUUGUGUGCCAGGCAUUGAUGAGAAAAUAAUAAUAAGGAUAAUAAUAAUAAUAAUAAUCACAACAACAAAAUAGCCUCUACUUUCCAGAAGGUCACACACUGGCAGAAAGGUGAAAACUUAUAACCUUCAUCUCAACAUUUUGUUUACUUUCAUUCUAAAGCCAAGGAGUCAGGCUGUGGAGCAAACUUAGGAAACGAGUUGAACAUUAUCUCUGAAGCUCAUAGGACUUCUCCCUGUCUGAACCUUGUUACACACAUUAAGGUCCUGGGUUUGACAGCCUGAAAAUUAAGCCCAUCAUGAUUUGCAUGCUGGCUUAAGAGCAGUGUCCAACCUUAGCAACUAGAAAUGCAAUUUUUUUUUUAAAGUGACUUAAAGAAUCAUCAAGUAGCAGACAGGUUCAGCCUUGAGUUCCACCCUUACUUAGAUCAAAGCUUUAUAGAAUCACUGGUUGUUUAACAGCCAGCAGGGUGAGAAGACCAGAAUUAUGCUCAGCAAAUGUAGGAAUGGAGCAGAGUUCUGUUUGUGUUUCCAUGGUUACAGUGAUAACAGCUUAUAUUUAUAGACCUUCCAUCUCCAAGGAGCUCAAAGCACUUUAGAGACACAUUAUCUCUAUUUUACAGGAGGAAGAGAGACAAGAAUACUGACAGAGAGAAUGAGCUAGCAAGCAAGCAAAGAGACAGCCACAGGCACAGAGACACAGAAAACUGUGGAAAAAAGGAAAGGGGGAAAGGAAGGGAGGGAGAAAAGAUAAAAGAGGGACAGAAGGACAUAAUGUGCUAUUGUUUACCUUUCACAGAUGGCACAGAGUAGAGAAGGCAAUGACCCAGGGUGGUAUGGCAGUGACAGAUGGCAGAUAGUGGAUGUACCAACUGGCUCAUAUAACUCCUAGAAUCUUUGUUGAUGGCCUUAGACAGAUGUCAGGACUGAACUACUAUCUCAUAGUCACCUGGUUCUGCUCAGUGUCGUAAUGGAGAUCAAAUAACUCUGAAAACAUCCAAGUUAGUUUGGCUCAGCUAUUGUUGAUUGGAAAUGCAAGGGCAGUUCUUCCAUGGAGAUCUAGGGUUAAUGUCCAAAGGCCUCAAACCAGAUAGCCACCAAGCAGUCCCAGGGAUGAGAGGCCUAGAUGUCCUGAUAACCUCACACCCAGAGGACCUACAAGAACUGGUGGAAAUGAUUCCCUAAAGGGAACCAAUUUCCAGGACCUUUCGAUGGAACGCCUCUUAUGUACAGCUUCCUGUAACACAAUCCUAAUCUAUUAGGUAUAUAGUGUGUGGCUAUGAGUUAUUUGAAACUAAGAAUGACUUGUGAAUCUCAAAUCUUCUCUUCUCUUGUAAAAUAUGUACAAGAAAAACCCAUGUUCUCUGGUGGAGGUCUCUCCUCUGGAAAGAGAGGGGAAAGUUGAAAUGACUCUUAGGCUCCCUCAUUCUGGAGGCAUUCUGUCCUUACUCUACUUCAGUCAGACUCUGCUCAGUCUGAUUCCCACCAUUUGCUUUCAUAGGCAGAAAACCCUCUCCACUACUUCACUCACUUCCUACUUAGCCUUUGAAAAAGAGGAACUAUUGAACUAUUCUGUCUCCCUCUAUCUCUCCCCAUCCCCUCCCCUCUCUUAGAGUACUCAGCUGACUCAGUACCUGCACAGU